RNAcentral lists this ribosomal RNA (833 nucleotides) under Dothiorella guttulata. RNAcentral describes it as "eukaryotic LSU rRNA". It matches the Rfam family "Eukaryotic large subunit ribosomal RNA", at positions 68 to 919 of the family's 3401-position model. The record is from RNAcentral. Lineage: Eukaryota; Fungi; Ascomycota; Dothideomycetes; Botryosphaeriales; Botryosphaeriaceae.
ACUGGGAUUGCCUUAGUAACGGCGAGUGAAGCGGCAAUAGCUCAAAUUUGAAAGCUGGCCCCUUUGGGGUCCGCGUUGUAAUUUGUAGAGGAUGAUUCGGCGAGGGCUCCCGUCUAAGUCCCCUGGAACGGGGCGUCAUAGAGGGUGAGAAUCCCGUAUGUGAUGGGUUGCCUUAGCCAUGUGAAUCUCCUUCGACGAGUCGAGUUGUUUGGGAAUGCAGCUCUAAAUGGGAGGUAAAUUUCUUCUAAAGCUAAAUACCGGCCAGAGACCGAUAGCGCACAAGUAGAGUGAUCGAAAGAUGAAAAGCACUUUGGAAAGAGAGUUAAAAAGUACGUGAAAUUGUUGAAAGGGAAGCGCUUGCAGCCAGACUUGUCCGCAGUUGCUCAGCCGGUCUCCUGACCGGCGUACUCUUCUGCGGCCAGGCCAGCAUCAGUUCGGGCGGUCGGAUAAAGACCUCGGGAAUGUAGCUCCUCUCGGGGAGUGUUAUAGCCCGGGGUGGAAUGCGGCCAGCCUGGACUGAGGAUCUCGCUUCGGCUAGGAUGCUGGCGUAAUGGCUGUAAGCGGCCCGUCUUGAAACACGGACCAAGGAGUCUAACAUCUAUGCGAGUGUUUGGGUGUCAAACCCAUACGCGUAAUGAAAGUGAACGGAGGUGGGAACCCUCACGGGUGCACCAUCGACCGAUCCUGAUGUCUUCGGAUGGAUUUGAGUAUGAGCAUAGCUGUUGGGACCCGAAAGAUGGUGAACUAUGCCUGAAUAGGGUGAAGCCAGAGGAAACUCUGGUGGAGGCUCGCAGCGGUUCUGACGUGCAAAUCGAUCGUCAAAUUUGGGUAUA